RNAcentral lists this ribosomal RNA (230 nucleotides) under uncultured bacterium. RNAcentral's name for it is "partial 16S ribosomal RNA". It matches the Rfam family "Bacterial small subunit ribosomal RNA", at positions 562 to 791 of the family's 1533-position model. The record is from RNAcentral.
AAAGGGUAGGUAGGUGGUGACAUUUGUCUGGGGUGAAAUCCCUGAGCUUAACUCAGGAAGUGCCUUGGAAACGGUGUCACUAGAGUGCUGGAGAGGUUCGCAGAAUUCUUGGUGUAGCGGUGAAAUGCGUAGAGAUCAAGAGGAAUACCAGAGGCGAAGGCGGCGAACUGGACAGUAACUGACACUAAACUACGAAAGCGUGGGGAGCAAACAGGAUUAGAUACCCCAGU